Long non-coding RNA from Pan troglodytes (chimpanzee), 2616 nucleotides. RefSeq lists it as uncharacterized. The record is from RefSeq and is a predicted model, not a curated record. The transcript has 4 exons. NCBI's taxonomy places the organism in Eukaryota, Metazoa, Chordata, Mammalia, Primates, Hominidae.
GAAAACUGAGGUUCAGAGAAGUUAUGUGGCUUAUGUAACAUCACCAGCUACAAAGAAGCCAUACAGGGAUUCUUAAAGAGGGAGCUGCAUGUUGUCUCCUGCAUGUUCAAUGUCCUUUGAUCCUGUGCACUAAAUAGCAGUGGAGACCCCCUCUCACUCAUCCAUCCACCCAAUCAUUUUGACAACCAGAUGCAUUUCCAAACUCCUCUGGGGGCGGGAGUGGUAGGGAGGGAGAAAGGACAAUAACACACACGCACACAUACACACACACAGUUUGAAAGAAAAAAUAACCUAUCCAUCUGCUCCCUCCCUGAAUUAAUUUGUUCAUGGAGCACUUCCUCUUGGCCGGGCACUUGCUUGAUGUUGAGGAUACAAAGAAGAAUCAAACCCAGUGUCUAACCUCAAGGACCUCCCAGUCAGGUAGACUCUUUUGGUUGCAAGAAAAAGAUCCACUCAACCUAGCUCAACUGAGAAAUCUCCUCAAAGGUAUCUCAAGGAACACAAAGAUUUGAAACUCCUUUAAAUUUGAAGAGUCUGGAUUUAACUGACAAGGAAACAUGUGAGAAGCAAUGGAAAUGGAUUGUAAAUGUCAGCAUCAUGUUUGAUCAUACCAAGCACUGAAGAUAAAUUCCUUCUGUAUUAUGGUUCUGCUGAGAAAGAAAAUCCCAGUUGGGACACCAAUCCUGAUCACCUGGACUUCGUCCCAAAAAGUAUGUCUGAAAUGGGCCUCAAUGAGGAGAAAAUUGUAAGAUCACCAAUCCUGUAUCCUUUGUAUCUUUAAGGGUGACACUACCCUAUCCUGUUGUUUAUUGUUUUAUUGUUUUUGGUUUACUAUCUCAGCUGGCAGAGCUGGACAAAGGGAGCAGUUUUCACUUGGCCUUCCCCAUACAAUAGCUCCUACCCCACAGUUUAAGGACUCAACUACUGAGCAUAUCAGUCCUAAUUAUACAUCUGGGGACGAGGAAAAUAACCACUGCAUGAGGGGCAGGGGUCUGCAGAUGCAGUGGGCUCCACUUAUUACCUGCUCAUCAUAUACCCCCAGUCUAGAAGGAGGAUCAGGGUGACACUAUAGAUCUCUGGGUGACAACAUCCACUUGGACACUAAGGCCAACAUUCCUCAUAAUGUUUGGGUCCCCUCUUUCGCCAAUGUACAGUCACCCUAGUUAGUGGCUGUAGGCCCAUUUGGAGAAGGACUGGGAGAAUUGUUUGCAUGUAUACCUGACAUAGUGUUGCAGAGUCUUUUCUUGGAAACCUGACCUGUCCUUCAGUUAGUGCAUUCUGAAUCUAAAAACUGGCUCAGAUCUGAAAUCCUUAUAAUAAUAUAAUAAUAAUAAGCAAGAAAUCCUUAUUGUUUUUUAUUGAAGUCCUCCCUGAGCCUUCCUCUGGUCAUCCAUUCAUGAUUUCUUCUGGCGGUACAAGCUGAAUAGUGCUCAUGUUGGCUCCAUAUCUGCUUUGCCUCCAGGGAUGCCAGGUUUUAUGAACAGUCUCCCUAACUCUCAGAGGUCCUAUACUCCAACUCCUGCCAAUACUUUAACUUGGUAGUCACAAUGAUCAUUGCAUUCACCCGACACUUAGCAAUAGUCACCUAACUCCAUUGUUCUCGUAGUUCUCACUUUCUCCACACUUCUCAAAAACCUGAUGCAUGACACUGAGUAAUGCAUUCCUUUCCACUCCAUCCCACUUCUUCAUUGGUAAGAGUUUUAAUAACCAACCCUACCACCUUGUGCCACAGGCUGGCUGUGCUCCACCAACGACUAGUGAUAAAAUCCUCAUUACCAGCCAGAUGGCAAGCGAUCCAACUCCCAUGCCCUAUCUUAUUGCCUGCCUUAUCAAACCACUCCUAGCACCAACUGUCACAGGUUGGGUUCUCUGGAAGCAAAUGCUGGAACAGAGUUAGAAGUGCAGAAAUGAUUCAUGCAGGAUGAACCCCUGUGGAAAGGAGGAGGAGGAAGUAGGAUGGGGCACAGGGAGAAGUUGAAUUGCAAUGCAGGCUCAUAAAAACUUGGCCAAUAUAUAGCACUAUGACAAGUAGAAUUAUAUCACAGGGGAACCAAAGUAGCCAGGCCUUUCUCCCCUGCCAUGAUCAGUUGCUGGAUGUUGGCCACCUCAGGAAGGGUGUGUCAUUGGGCAAGAAGGCUUUCUGCAGCUUAGGCAAACCCUGAAGAAGCUGGGAGCAGAAGGCUGUCUAUGGACAGUAUUCCCAGCACCUCCUGAAAAAAGUUCUUCCUUCAAAAAUAUCUGACUGAUGUAUCUUUGUGUGCAUCACAAACAUGCUACAAAGCAAAAGACAACUACUAUAUGUAACAUUAUAGUCAAAUAUAAUACUGAAUAGAAGCAGCCAGACCGAAAUGAAUAUAUACCAUAAGAUUCGAUAAGGUUCAGAACUCAGGCAAAACCGAUUGAAAUGUUGGAAUUCAGAAUAGCCUUCUCUUUCAAAAGGGCAUGUGGACUGGAGGGAGUCCAAGGAAGCUUUCUGGGGUGCUGGUCCUGCUUCACUACUUAAUCUCAUGCUGGUUGCGUGGGUGUAUUCACUUUGUAAAAAUGCAUCAAGCUCUCCAGAUACAAGUUGUACCCUUUUUAAAUAUUCAUAUUGUAUUUCAAUAAAGUGUGUUUAUC